AUUGAACGCUGGCGGCAUGCUUUACACAUGCAAGUCGAACGGUAACAGGCCGCAAGGUGCUGACGAGUGGCGGACGGGCGAGUAAUGCAUCCGACCGUGCCCAGCCGUUGGGGAUAACUACCCGAAAGAGAAGCUAAUACCUCACACGAUCUAUGGACGAAAGCGGGGGACGGUAAGGCCUCGCGCGAUCUGUGGGGCUGAUGUCAGAUUAGUUAGUUGGUGGGGUAAAGGCUCACCAAGCCAACGAUCGGUAGCUGGUCUGAGAGGACGACCAGCCACACUGGGACUGAGACACGGCCCAGACUCCUACGGGAGGCAGCAGUGGGGAAUUUUGGACAAUGGGCGCAAGCCUGAUCCAGCAAUGCCGCGUGCGGGAAGAAGGCCUUCGGGUUGUAAACUACUUUUGUACGGAACGAAACGCCUCUGGUUAAUACCCGGGGCUGAUGACGGUACCGGAAGAAUAAGCACCGGCUAACUACGUG
This 482-nucleotide ribosomal RNA is filed under the name uncultured bacterium. RNAcentral's name for it is "partial 16S ribosomal RNA". It matches the Rfam family "Bacterial small subunit ribosomal RNA", at positions 30 to 507 of the family's 1533-position model. The record is from RNAcentral.